CACGUAGGGUGCGAGCGUUGUCCGGAAUUAUUGGGCGUAAAGAGCUCGUAGGCGGUGUGUCGCGUCGGCCGUGAAAACCUGCAGCUUAACUGUGGGCGUGCGGUCGAUACGGGCAUCACUGGAGUUCGGCAGGGGAGACUGGAAUUCCGGGUGUAGCGGUGGAAUGCGUAGAGAUCCGGAAGAACACCGGUGGCGAAGGCGGUCUGCUGGGGUAAUGCUGACACUGAUGCGCGACAGCGUGGGGAGCAAACAGG
RNAcentral lists this ribosomal RNA (254 nucleotides) under uncultured bacterium. RNAcentral describes it as "partial 16S ribosomal RNA". It matches the Rfam family "Bacterial small subunit ribosomal RNA", at positions 524 to 776 of the family's 1533-position model. The record is from RNAcentral.